RNAcentral lists this ribosomal RNA (441 nucleotides) under uncultured bacterium. RNAcentral describes it as "partial 16S ribosomal RNA". It matches the Rfam family "Bacterial small subunit ribosomal RNA", at positions 338 to 795 of the family's 1533-position model. The record is from RNAcentral.
CCUACGGGUGGCAGCAGUGGGGAAUAUUGCACAAUGGGGGAAACCCUGAUGCAGCAACGCCGCGUGAAGGAAGACGGUUUUCGGAUUGUAAACUUCUGUUCUUAGUGAAGAAUAAUGACGGUAGCUAAGGAGCAAGCCACGGCUAACUACGUGCCAGCAGCCGCGGUAAUACGUAGGUGGCAAGCGUUGUCCGGAAUUACUGGGUGUAAAGGGAGCGCAGGCGGGAAGCCAAGUCAGCUGUGAAAACUACGGGCUUAACUUGUAGACUGCAGUUGAAACUGGUUUUCUUGAGGGAAGUAGAGGUUGGCGGAAUUCCGAGUGUAGCGGUGAAAUGCGGAGAUAUUCGGAGGAACACCGGUGGCGAAGGCGGCCUGCUGGACUGCGACUGACGUUGAGGCCCGAAAGCGUGGGGAGCAAACAGGAUUAGAUACCCGUGUAGUC